Molecule: long non-coding RNA, 1568 nt
Organism: Chiloscyllium plagiosum (whitespotted bambooshark)
Lineage: Eukaryota; Metazoa; Chordata; Chondrichthyes; Orectolobiformes; Hemiscylliidae
Source: RefSeq, a predicted model, not a curated record
AUUGAACGAUUUAUUACAAUUAAAGUUGAUUGAAGGAUCAAUUUUAGCCGAGACUCUGAAGAGCACCUCUUCUUCUAAUAUACAAUAACUAUUUUUCGAAAACCCAACAAAUCCAGCAUCAGCGUGUGGAAGGGAAACAUUUAAUAUUUCAGGAAUAUGACUGUUUAUCCCACCGUCUUGUUUAAAAUGAUUCUUCCAUCAAUAACCACCAAAUAGCUCAUUCAGCUCGUGCUAUUUGGGGAUUCAAUGCUUCUCGUGCUGCAUUAAAGGCUUUAACUGUCUGCCGACUGCCAGAAGAGAAUAAAGCAAAAUUCCAGAAAUGCUGGAAAUCCGGAAUAGAAGCAGAAAACGCUGGUGAUAAGCUUUAGGGUCACUUCGUGUUGGUGACCUUUCAAAAAGUUAAAAAUGCAACAAUCAUCUCAUACUAAACAAUUGAGAGGAGGUAGGAAGGUGCAAAAAGAAAAGACUCUAAUUGUGUGGCAGACAACAGAGAUUAAAUGACAAAAGAGUUGGUGGUGUUAACCAAAUUUCAUCAUGGGAAAGGAAAGAACAAUGGACGGGUCCACUCAAAAGCAAAUCCAUUGGACAUGCCAUUCCUCUGCUUGACACCACUCACUUGAAGCAACAAAAACAUGGAUGUUGGAAAUAAAAAAAAAAGCACUGGAGAACCUCAGAAGAUCUAGCAAAAUUUGUGGAGCGAGAAAUAUGAUAAACAUUUUAAGUCCAUGAUACCUUUUCAACUGUUCUGGGGAAGAGUCAUAUCGGACUGGAAACAUUAACGCUUUCUCUCUCUCUCUGUUGAUGUUACCAGACCUGCUGAGGUUGUCCAGCAUUUUGCUUUUUUUCCGAAACCAACUGCUGUACUUGGUGCUCAGUUGCAGAAGGACUGUGGAAAUCUUUUCGGCUAUCUUCAAAUCAUCCCUAAAAAAGGCAAACAUAUGCAUCAACUCAUAGGAGACCCUGCAUUGUGACUGGCCAAAAGUAGUUCGCUUAUUUGUGAAACCAUCAUCAAAAGGAUGCAAAUGUGAAGUAAAGAAGUCAGAGAGAGUGUGCACAAACAUCUAAACUUCCUAUCUAUUUAAACAUUCAAACAUUGUCUGCCUGGCAUGUGAAGGAGACUGCACAUUGCACAUGGGACCUAUCAGCCAGCUCAGAAUCUGCUGAACCAGAAUGGAAACAAUUAUGAAGGACUGCCUAAGAGGUUCAGAAAAGGAUAUUAUUCCUUCUGAACCUGGUAAUUGGCCCAUUAUCGUAUCUGGAGGAACCCCAAUUACCCCGAAAUGUCCUUUGCAGUUGAACAUUUCCCAGACUAUCACAGAGCACGAUCUCCGGGACGAGCCAAGAGAGGCUUACAGAUCGAGUCCAUCAGGGAUUCCCUGAGCCACCUUGAAUAGGGGAAGACACCAGCAGCCUACCAGAACUCCAAGAGAGUCGGGGGUAAAGGUGAGUGUCGUGGUCAUCACUAAAGAGGAGGUGCUGAGGAAGUUGAAUUGUCCAAAAGUGUGUCAAUCACCCAGACCGGAUAGAUUACACUCCAGAGUUCUGAAGAGAUAGCUGAGAAGAUUGUA